This is a non-coding RNA of Schistosoma rodhaini, 46 nucleotides long. The record is from Rfam. Lineage: Eukaryota; Metazoa; Platyhelminthes; Trematoda; Strigeidida; Schistosomatidae.
GCACUACUGAGGAGUUCAACAGUAGAACGAAACGGCCGUCCAGUGC